This 31-nucleotide small RNA is filed under the name Bombyx mori (domestic silkworm). RNAcentral's name for it is "ovarian small RNA-37621". Lineage: Eukaryota; Metazoa; Arthropoda; Insecta; Lepidoptera; Bombycidae. The record is from RNAcentral.
UUGAAGAGCAACUCGCGGUCCUCGUGACCGU